GGGGGGGGGGGGGGGGGGGGGGGGGGCGGGGGGGGCGGGGGGGGGGGCGGGGGGGGGGUGGUGUGGCGGGGGGCGGGUGGCGGAGGGGGGGGGAGUGGGACGGACGGUACUUUGGCGUGGGUGUGAACUGAGGGAAUGGUACGCUACUCCGUCGUACGUCGUCCGGGGGAAAGAAGGGGACUAUCGUGCUUUGCGCACUUGAAUGAGCCUAUGUCGGAUUAUGCAGUUGUCGGGGUAAAGGCCCAGCCAGGCGACACUCCGUAGCUGGGCUGAGAGGAUGAUCAGCCAAACUGGAACUGAGACACGGUCCAGACUCCUAAGGGAGGCAGCAGUGGGGAAUAUUGGACAAAGGGCGCAAGCCUGAUCCAGCCAUACCGCGUGGGUGAAGAAGGCCUUCGGGUUGUCAAGCACUUUUGUUGGGAAAGAAAAGCAGCAGGUUAAUACCCCGCUGUUCUGACGGUACCCAAAGAAUAAGCACCGGCUAACUUCGUG
Molecule: ribosomal RNA, 492 nt
Filed under: uncultured bacterium
Lineage: Bacteria
Description: partial 16S ribosomal RNA
Rfam family: Bacterial small subunit ribosomal RNA (bases 64-492)
Source: RNAcentral